GAUUAUGGCUCAGGAUGAACGCUAGCGACAGGCUUAACACAUGCAAGUCGAGGGGCAGCAUAAAAGUAGCAAUACUUGGUGGCGACCGGCGCACGGGUGGGUAACGCGUAUGCAACCUACCUAUCAGAGGGGAAUAACCCGGCGAAAGUCGGACUAAUACCGCAUAAAACAGGGGCACCGCAUGGUGAUAUUUGUUAAAGAAAUUCGCUGAUAGAUGGGCAUGCGUUCCAUUAGGUAGUUGGUGAGGUAACGGCUCACCAAGCCGACGAUGGAUAGGGGAACUGAGAGGUUGGUCCCCCACACUGGUACUGAGACACGGACCAGACUCCUACGGGAGGCAGCAGUGAGGAAUAUUGGUCAAUGGGCGGGAGCCUGAACCAGCCAAGUCGCGUGAAGGAAAGAAGGAUCUAUGGUUCGUAAACUUCUUUUGCAGGGGAAUAAAGUGCAGGACGUGUCCUGUUUUGUAUGUACCCUGAGAAUAAGGAUCGGCUAACUCCGUGCCAGCAGCUGC
Molecule: ribosomal RNA, 511 nt
Filed under: uncultured bacterium
Lineage: Bacteria
Description: bacterial SSU rRNA
Rfam family: Bacterial small subunit ribosomal RNA
Source: RNAcentral